GGGGAUGUAGGUAGGGCACUUACCUGGCAUGUGAGAGGCCCUGGGUUCAAUUCCCAGCACCACCC
RNAcentral lists this transfer RNA (65 nucleotides) under Ictidomys tridecemlineatus (thirteen-lined ground squirrel). RNAcentral's name for it is "Spermophilus tridecemlineatus (thirteen-lined ground squirrel) tRNA". It matches the Rfam family "tRNA". Rfam says of the family: Transfer RNA (tRNA) molecules are approximately 80 nucleotides in length. Lineage: Eukaryota; Metazoa; Chordata; Mammalia; Rodentia; Sciuridae. The record is from Rfam by way of RNAcentral.